GGAAUUUUUAGGAGGCAGGGGAUUUGGGGAGAUGUGAGGGGUCCUGGGGGAUUUUGGGGGGUUUGGGGGAUCCGGGUGAAUUUCGUUUGAUUUUGGGUGAAUUUUGGGUGAUUUUGGGUGAAUUUGGGUGGAUUUUGUUGAAUUUUGGGUGAAUUUUGGGUGAAUUUUGUGUGGAUUUCGGGUGAAUUUCGAUGGAUUUUGGGUGAAUUUUGGGCGAAUUUUGGGUGAAUUUUGGGUGAAUUUUGUUGGAUUUUGGGGUCACCCGGGGGUCCCCGUGCCCCUCCCCCAGCCCCGCAAGCCCCGCAGCGCCCCCUGCUGGACAACUACGACUGCAAGUGAGUGGGGGAGGGGCGGGAGGGGGCGGGGCCAGAGGGGGGCGGGGCCGGACCCGUCUGACCCCUCCCCCUCCCCUCCCCCCCCCCAGGCCGCCCCCCGGCGCCUCUCCCCCCCCCCGUUCAUCCUGCUGAAGCCGCGAUGUGAGUGACCUCUGACCCCCGAGUGACCUCUGACCCCCGAGUGACCAAUGAGUGACCACUGACCCCUCCCCCACCCUCCGUUUGCCCCUCCCCCAUUCUGCCCCUCCCCAUUUCCCAUUUCGCCCCUCCCCCUUUUCAUCUCUGGCCCCUCCCCCCUCCGCAGGUGCCCCUCCCCCACACACCCCGCAGCCGCCCUGGGCGGAGCCUCGGACACUGGGCCCCCCCCAGGCCCCCCCGAGCCGCCGCGUCUCGGCCGAACCCGACUCCGGUGAGUGACCCCUGAGUGACCUCUGACCCCUGAGUGACCCAAAUGAGUGACCUCAAUGAGUGACCUCUGUGUGACCUUUGACCCCCCAGACCCCCCCGAGGACGGCGAUUACACCAACGAACCUUUCGCCAGCGGCUACGUGACGGUGCUGCCGGACCCGACCCCUCCCAGUGACGUCAUCGAUGAUGUCACGGCCGACCCCGGUGACGUCAUCGGGGCGGGGGAGGGGCCGGAGGAGGGGGAGGGGGAGGAGCCGUACGAGAACAUCCCCGAGGGAGAGGGCGGCAACUCCCGGGUGCCCAGCCUGGAGUACAUCAACGUGCCGGGAACCGAGGCGAGCGAGAGCGACGAAGGCGCCGACUACGAGAACCUCUGAGCCCCUCCCCCCACCCCCGUUAUUUAUUGGCUGCCGACGAAUCCUGAGAAGGGCCCCGCCCACACUCCGACAAGCCCCGCCCCCUUUUCUACGAGCCCUCCCCCCACUCUCAUUUGCCCCUCCCCCACCCCAAUAAAGGCACUUUUGAGGUCACUUCCGGUGGGGAGGGGUUUGUUGGGGUGGGGGAGGGGCGGGGCUGAACCCC
Molecule: long non-coding RNA, 1325 nt
Filed under: Camarhynchus parvulus
Lineage: Eukaryota; Metazoa; Chordata; Aves; Passeriformes; Thraupidae
Description: lncRNA (ENSCPVG00000017790.1)
Source: RNAcentral